AUAUACACAUACUAAAAAUGUUAAAUAUUAAAAGACAAAUAUUAAUGAUAUUUUAUUUUGCAGAAGAGUGCUCAGAAUGUCAAUACAAUAAUUGAAAAACCAUUAGAAAAUGCAUAAUUCAAACUUAAUUUAACUCAGCCAUUUUGUGACAUGAUUAGGAAAUGAAGAGUGCUCAGAAUGUCAAUACAAUAAUUGAAAAACCAUUAGAAAAUGCAUAAUUCAAACUUAAUUUAACUCAGCCAUUUUGUGACAUGAUUAGGAAAUGAAGAGUGCUCAGAAUGUCAAUACAAUAAUUGAAAAACCAUUAGAAAAUGCAUAAUUCAAACUUAAUUUAACUCAGCCAUUUUGUGACAUGAUUA
Long non-coding RNA from Megachile rotundata (alfalfa leafcutting bee), 359 nucleotides. Lineage: Eukaryota; Metazoa; Arthropoda; Insecta; Hymenoptera; Megachilidae. The record is from RefSeq and is a predicted model, not a curated record.